UAUCUCUGUAGAGUCUGCAUAUCAAUAAGCGGAGGAAAAGAAACUAACAAGGAUUCCCUUAGUAACGGCGAGUGAAGCGGGAAGAGCUCAAACUUGAAAUCUUCAAGGUUUUACCUUGACGAACUGUAGUUUAAAGAAGUGUUUUCUGUUGAAGUUUCGGUAAAAGUUCUUUGGAAUAGGACAUCAUAGAGGGUGAGAAUCCCGUAUUUGACCAGUUAUUUUCCAGCUGUGUGAUACACUUUCGAAGAGUCGGAUUGUUUGGGAAUGCAGUCCAAAAUGGGUGGUAAAUUUCAUCUAAAGCUAAAUACUGGCGAGAGACCGAUAGCGAACAAGUACCGUGAAGGAAAGAUGAAAAGAACUUUGAAAGAGAGUUAAACAGUACGUGAAAUUGUCAAAAGGGAAGCGUUUGACACCAGUGUUGUUUUCUCGAAAAUCAAUUAAAAUAACUGCGGAUUUUGUGUUGUAUUGACCUUAAUCAGCUUUCUUCACUUUUUUCUUGUCUUUUUAAUGCACUUUUCGUUUAACAAGUCAACAUCAGUUUCUUUUGUUGUAAAAGGGUCAUUGGAAGGUGGCUUUCUUUUCGGAGAAAGUGUUUAUAGCCUUUGACUUCUGCAAUCGGAGAGAUUGAGGUCUGCAGCGUAGAUCCUUCGGGGUUAGAUGCAUUUGUGCUAAGUUAUAGCCUUUCAUAGACAACUUGUUGACUAUGAUCAGUCAUGUAGCUUACUCGCUUAUGUUAUUUUACCUACGCUUAGGAUGUUGAACGCGCACAGAGUCUC
This 776-nucleotide ribosomal RNA is filed under the name uncultured Neocallimastigales. RNAcentral's name for it is "partial large subunit ribosomal RNA". It matches the Rfam family "Eukaryotic large subunit ribosomal RNA", at positions 24 to 614 of the family's 3401-position model. The record is from RNAcentral. Lineage: Eukaryota; Fungi; Neocallimastigomycota; Neocallimastigomycetes; Neocallimastigales.